AUUGAACGCUGGCGGCAGGCCUAACACAUGCAAGUCGAACAGUAACAGGAAGAAGCUUGCUUCUUUGCUGACGAGUGGCGGACGGGUGAGUAAUGUCUGGGAAACUGCCUGAUGGAGGGGGAUAACUACUGCAAACGGUAGCUAAUACCGCAUAACGUCGCAAGACCAAAGAGGGGGACCUUCGGGCCUCUUGCCAUCGGAUGUGCCCAGAUGGGAUUAGCUAGUAGGUGGGGUAACGGCUCACCUAGGCGACGAUCCCUAGCUGGUCUGAGAGGAUGACCAGCCACACUGGAACUGAGACACGGUCCAGACUCCUACGGGAGGCAGCAGUGGGGAAUAUUGCACAAUGGGCGCAAGCCUGAUGCAGCCAUGCCGCGUGUAUGAAGAAGGCCUUCGGGUUGUAAAGUACUUUCAGCGGGGAGGAAGGGAGUAAAGUUAAUACCUUUGCUCAUUGACGUUACCCGCAGAAGAAGCACCGGCUAACUCCGUG
RNAcentral lists this ribosomal RNA (490 nucleotides) under uncultured bacterium. RNAcentral's name for it is "partial 16S ribosomal RNA". It matches the Rfam family "Bacterial small subunit ribosomal RNA", at positions 30 to 507 of the family's 1533-position model. The record is from RNAcentral.